This 514-nucleotide ribosomal RNA is filed under the name uncultured bacterium. RNAcentral describes it as "bacterial SSU rRNA". It matches the Rfam family "Bacterial small subunit ribosomal RNA", at positions 36 to 518 of the family's 1533-position model. The record is from RNAcentral.
CUGGCGGCGUGCCUAAUACGAUGCAAGUCGAGCGCGGAAGCAAACUGAAGCCUUCGGGCGGACGUUGUGGAACGAGCGGCGGAUGGGUGAGUAACGACGCGGGCAACCUGCCUGUAAGAUUGGGAUAACUUGCGGAAACGUGAGCUAAUACCAAUAAAGCUUUUCAUCCCCUGAUGAGAAGAUGAAAGAUGGCUCCGGCUAUCACUUACAGAUGGGCCCGUGGCGCAUUAGCUAGUUGGUGGGAUAAAAGCUUACCAAGGCAACGAUGCGUAGCCGACCUGAGAGGGUGAUCGGCCACACUGGGACUGAGACACGGCCCAGACUCCUGCGGGAGGCAGCAGUAGGGAAUCUUCCGCAAUGGACGCAAGUCUGACGGAAGCAACGCCGCGUGAGUGAUGAAGGUUUUCGGAUCGUAAAACUCUGUUGUUAGGGAAGAACAAGUACCGUUCGAAUAGGUCGGUACCUUGACGGUACCUAACCAGAAAGCCCCGGCUAACUACGUGCCAGCCGCCGC